This 261-nucleotide ribosomal RNA is filed under the name Triticum aestivum (bread wheat). RNAcentral describes it as "partial small subunit ribosomal RNA". The record is from RNAcentral. Lineage: Eukaryota; Viridiplantae; Streptophyta; Magnoliopsida; Poales; Poaceae.
AUGCGCUAUUCAGCCUUUUAUUUGGGGUCAGUUGCAGCCCUUUGCCGCGACCAGGAUGGACAUUAUUUGGGGUCAUCGGCGAUGGUAUACUAUGGGAUCACGGAUCCGUUAACUUUGAAGACAUAUGCAUGCCGUGAGGCGCUUGCUUUGGCGGAUGACCUGGGACAGCAGAAGAUUUGUGUGGCAUCGGACUGUCAAGAGGCGGUAAAUGACAUCAACAGGGAACAGGAGGCCCUAAUGCAGGGUUGGUACAUGAAAUAA